RNAcentral lists this ribosomal RNA (500 nucleotides) under uncultured bacterium. Its description in RNAcentral is "partial 16S ribosomal RNA". It matches the Rfam family "Bacterial small subunit ribosomal RNA", at positions 30 to 523 of the family's 1533-position model. The record is from RNAcentral.
AUUGAACGCUGGCGGAAUGCUUUACACAUGCAAGUCGAACGGCAGCACGGGGGCAACCCUGGUGGCGAGUGGCGAACGGGUGAGUAAUACAUCGGAACGUGCCCAGUCGUGGGGGAUAACGUAGCGAAAGUUACGCUAAUACCGCAUACGAUCUACGGAUCAAAGCGGGGGACCGUAAGGCCUCGCGCCAUUGGAGCGGUCGAUGUCAGGUUAGGUAGUUGGUGAGGUAAAGGCUCACCAAGCCGACGAGCUGUAGCUGGUCUGAGAGGACGACCAGCCACACUGGGACUGGGACACGGCCCAGACUCCUACGGGAGGCAGCAGUGGGGAAUUUUGGACAAUGGGCGCAAGCCUGAUCCAGCCAUUCCGCGUGCAGGACGAAGGCCUUCGGGUUGUAAACUGCUUUUGUACGGAACGAAAAGGCUCUGGUUAAUACCUGGGGCUCAUGACGGUACCGUAAGAAUAAGCACCGGCUAACUACGUGCCAGCAGCCGCCGUAA